This 275-nucleotide ribosomal RNA is filed under the name uncultured bacterium. RNAcentral describes it as "partial 16S ribosomal RNA". It matches the Rfam family "Bacterial small subunit ribosomal RNA", at positions 338 to 610 of the family's 1533-position model. The record is from RNAcentral.
CCUACGGGGGGCUGCAGUGAGGAAUAUUGGUCAAUGGGCGAGAGCCUGAACCAGCCAAGUCGCGUGAAGGAAGAAGGAUCUAUGGUUCGUAAACUUCUUUUUUAGGGGAAUAAAGUGCGGUACGUGUACCGUUUUGUAUGUACCCUACGAAUAAGGAUCGGCUAACUCCGUGCCAGCAGCCGCGGUAAUACGGAGGAUCCGAGCGUUAUCCGGAUUUAUUGGGUUUAAAGGGUGCGUAGGCGGAAGAAUAAGUCAGUGGUGAAAGUUUGCAGCUC